GAUGAACGCUGGCGGCGUGCUUAACACAUGCAAGUCGAACGUGAGGGGGUAGCAAUAUCCUUGAAAGUGGCGCACGGGUGAGUAAUACGUAGGUAACCUGCCCUGGAGUGGGGGAUAACAGCUAGAAAUGGCUGCUAAUACCGCAUGAGGCCGAGACACUGGGAAGUGUUUUGGCGAAAAACUCUGGUGCUUCAGGAGGGGCCUGCGGCCGAUUAGCUAGUUGGCGGGGUAAGAGCCCACCAAGGCAGUGAUCGGUAGCUGGUCUGAGAGGACGAUCAGCCACACGGGAACUGAGACACGGUCCCGACUCCUACGGGGGGCAGCAGUGAGGAAUAUUGGGCAAUGGGCGGAAGCCUGACCCAGCAACGCCGCGUGGAGGAAGACGGCCUUCGGGUUGUAAACUCCUUUACGGGGUAAGAGGAAGGACGGUACCCGACGAAUAAGUACACGGCUAACUAACGUGCCAGCAGCCGCGGUAAU
This 480-nucleotide ribosomal RNA is filed under the name uncultured bacterium. RNAcentral describes it as "bacterial SSU rRNA". It matches the Rfam family "Bacterial small subunit ribosomal RNA", at positions 28 to 524 of the family's 1533-position model. The record is from RNAcentral.